UCCUGAGGGGGGGGGGGGAAAGAAAGACUGUGCCGCUGGUCAAUGUGUAGGCUACCCGGUCACGUGGCUUACUUACAAUUGACCAACCAGAGACAGGUCUACAUGAUAGGCUACAGCCUAUUGCAUCAUUAAGAAAAAUAGCGCCAGAACCAAACACCAUGACCAUCCCAUUCCAGUCAUAGUACUCAUAGAUCUACUUCAAGAUUGUGUUGAUUUGUGAUUAACUCGACUCUAUUCUAACAACUUUGGAAUGUGUGCGUCAAGCAAAGACUCUGGGAACCAAAGAGUGAAAGAAUGAUGGCAUCACUAUGACUAUGAUCACUUCUUGCUGGAUCUGUCCAAGAGUCAAUGAGUACAGGUGGACCAUGUUGGAAAAUAACUUUCAGUCAAGACUCAAGUUGAGACAAGAGCUCCAUUGAUGUUAUUGAUCAAACUGAACAUGUUCUAGAGAUACUGGAGAAAAGAUUUGAGUGCAGUACAGACUCAUUAAUUAAAAGAAGCAGAGAUAAAUACAAUCAGGAUUGGGUAUGAAGCAAAUUUCCCAAUGGCAAAUAAUGUAUCACUGUUGGAAAUAGAAGUGAAACUGAAGUAUGAAGAUUCUCAUGAAAAUUUGAUCUAUCCAGUGAAAACAGCAUUAAGAGAACAAUAGUAUGGAUUAUAACUUGGCUGGACUGGACAUGGCACAAACAGAAAAUAAAUGUAUUGAAUUUUCAAUCCUAAUUAUGGAUAUUAGAUUAUUCAAGUGAGUUACCCAAGUCUGCUGUCAAAUCAAAUAACUUAGAGAAAGUACUUGAACUUGGCACAUGUGAUGGCACAGAAAUCGUAAAAAAAGAAGGAUGAUGGCUUCAACUCUGAAGGAACAUCCCAAACAUGUAAAACAUUUUACAAACAAACCUAAUCAAAGUUUAUAAAUGUUUAAAAAAAGUAAGAUGCACAAGCAAAUUUAUUUACAUACUACAGAUAUUAGAACUAAUGACUAAUGGAAAAAAAAAACUACCUAUCUAGAC
Molecule: long non-coding RNA, 1007 nt
Organism: Biomphalaria glabrata
Lineage: Eukaryota; Metazoa; Mollusca; Gastropoda; Planorbidae
Exons: 6
Source: RefSeq, a predicted model, not a curated record